GGGGGCGUAAUGGUUUCGACGGGGGCAAGUUGUCCUUGAGAAGCGAGUCGAAGGUUUCCUGGACCUGCGUUAAAAAACUGGGAACUAAAUAUAAUCGCAAACGAUAAUUUUGCAUUAGCUGCCUAAUAGUUGCAGCUCGUCAGCCUAAGAGUCCCACGACUUAGGGUCUGGCGUCGACAGUGGGGUACCGAGCCUUACAAAGCUUUGAGUAAGAAACGGAAUAAAUGAAGCUACUGAAUCUAAGAGCCUGUUUACCGGCGCUUAGAGGAGGGAAUGUAAAAAGGUAAACUGCACUCGGAGAUGCUCAAGGGUUACUGCUUUCGGACAGGGGUUCGAUUCCCCUCGCUUCCACCA
Molecule: transfer-messenger RNA, 354 nt
Filed under: Clostridiaceae
Lineage: Bacteria; Bacillati; Bacillota; Clostridia; Eubacteriales
Also listed under: 1 other name
Description: Clostridium_F niameyense Standard tmRNA
Rfam family: transfer-messenger RNA
About the family: Bacterial tmRNA, also known as 10Sa RNA or SsrA, is named for its dual tRNA and mRNA-like properties. Its role is to liberate the mRNA from a stalled ribosome. To accomplish this part of the tmRNA is used as a reading frame that ends in a translation stop signal.
Source: RNAcentral